Chrysemys picta bellii (western painted turtle) is the source of this 1493-nucleotide non-coding RNA. Lineage: Eukaryota; Metazoa; Chordata; Testudines; Emydidae. The record is from RefSeq and is a predicted model, not a curated record.
AGAUAAAGCAUACCCCCAACAGCGAAAGCAUGAAGAUUCUUGCUCUCCAGAUACACUGUAGUCUGCAAGAGUUGCAUUCCGUGCAAGCUCAGGAAGCUGAGAAAAGGAACAUACUUUACAUUCCAGCCUCCAGAGCACUCACUCUGCUGGGAACUGAGCAGGGUUUCAGCCAGGCGCCCACCCUUUACACCACUCCUGCCUCCCACCCUCUAGAGGAAGAGAGGAUCACAUUACACAAAUGGGACUAAAAAUAUUCUGAGACCACAAAAGUUGAUUCCUUAAAGGAACAAAAGAACAGAAUAGAGGAUGACAGGAACAUCCAGGCUAGAAUAUCAUCACAUCAGAAGCAGCACAGUCCAAGAAAACCAAUCCAAGGGCCAUUAUAAUCUAUGAUUUAUUUAUUUUACAAUAAAACGGGAUUUUCAAGGAAGUAAUGAAAUAUUACAUAUAUCAUAUCUACAGUCUGGCAAGCUCUAGAAAUAAUAUGAGAGGAAUGAUUUGCACAACUAUUUAACAGGGAGUGACCAACAGUGGUCCCUUCUGACAUUAAAAUUUAUGAGAGAAGUAGUUUAUACUGGAAUCCAAAAAAACAGGCAGGGAUGAAGAACAUCAUCGUUUCAAAGAGAAGAAAGCAGCAGCAUCCUCACCUUCAGUUCCUCCUACCUUUCUUCAAGUAUUUCAGACUGCCUGCACCUACAGGUGACCUGCAAAGAAUUUUUUUUAAAUUGCACUUGUGCAUUUUUUAUAUUAUUUUACUUCUUUAUGAUGUAUAAUGAAGACCUGAUUUUUUUUAAUUUUCAAAAUGGCAUUUUCUGCUUGCUUUUAACUUUAGAAAUAUCAGGUAUGCCAGCUCUGAUCUUUCCUGGUAUUGCUGAAGGAUCUCCUAGGAUGUCUUCGUCUUGGAGGAUGUAUACAGUAGAUCUCUUACCUUUAAUUGGGGGUGAAAAUGUCAAAUAAUUAACAAGUGUGUUCUUUUUUCAAAAUGUUAAAACCCACUUAACUUUAAGACUAAUCAACUGUAGGAACACACAGCUCCCGAAUUGCUAGUUCACGGCUGCGGCACACUGCGCCCGUGGCUGCAAGGCCGGAGCGGCCUACACCCCCACGCCUGUGAUUAAAAAAUUUAUUGGCUGACCUAAUCAUCACCCUCGCUGCUCGCUUUCACGUGCACAAGAUAUGACUUUGUUAAGUCAUGUUGAUGAGUAUUGUAUGCUCCUCCUAUGCGCAGAAAUUCAACCACUUAUAAGUGUUGUAAAUAGAAAAGUAAGAUAAUAAAAACCCCAGAGAAAAGUCCCUGGGAGGCUUUUUCGGCUACCACGACCUGGCGCUCUGUCUCCUUCCUUUUUCGUCGCCACAUCUGGUGACCCCGACGUGAUCCCCCCUGCUCACCGGCUGGAUACGCCGAGUGCAUCUCUGCGGCCGUUUGCCGCCCCUGAUUCGCUCCUAUGUGUCGCCCUCCUGUGAUGACAACCUGUUGGCCCUUUUUCUCACUC